RNAcentral lists this ribosomal RNA (526 nucleotides) under uncultured bacterium. RNAcentral describes it as "bacterial SSU rRNA". It matches the Rfam family "Bacterial small subunit ribosomal RNA", at positions 20 to 518 of the family's 1533-position model. The record is from RNAcentral.
UGGCUCAGGACGAACGCUGGCGGCGUGCCUAAUACAUGCAAGUCGAACGGUCUUUCUAUGGAAGCUUGCUUCCACUGAGAAGAUAGUGGCGAACGGGUGAGUAACACGUGGGUAACCUGCCCAUAAGAGGGGGAUAACAUCCGGAAACGGGUGCUAAUACCGCAUAGUUUUCUUGAUCGCAUGAUCGGGAAAGGAAAGACGGCCUUUGUGCUGUCGCUUAUGGAUGGACCCGCGGCGUAUUAGUUAGUUGGUGAGGUAACGGCUCACCAAGACGAUGAUACGUAGCCGACCUGAGAGGGUGAUCGGCCACAUUGGGACUGAGACACGGCCCAAACUCCUACGGGAGGCAGCAGUAGGGAAUCUUCCGCAAUGGACGAAAGUCUGACGGAGCAACGCCGCGUGAGUGAAGAAGGUUUUUCCGGAUCGUAAAACUCUGUUGUCAGAGAGGAACAAGUUGGAGAGUAACUGCUCCAGCCUUGACGGUAUCUGACCAGAAAGCCACGGCUAACUACGUGCCAGCAGCCGC